Molecule: long non-coding RNA, 107 nt
Organism: Etheostoma cragini (Arkansas darter)
Lineage: Eukaryota; Metazoa; Chordata; Actinopteri; Perciformes; Percidae
Exons: 4
Source: RefSeq, a predicted model, not a curated record
GGAGAUGUGAACUAGCUUUGUUUUGUUUGAAAAUACUUUGAAAGUCAACGAGAAGUGCCGUCACCCAACAUCAAUUAGAGCACUUUUAACUGACUUUAGAGAGAGUG